Non-coding RNA from Centropristis striata (black sea bass), 74 nucleotides. Lineage: Eukaryota; Metazoa; Chordata; Actinopteri; Perciformes; Serranidae. The record is from the annotation of a RefSeq genome assembly.
GGCCAGUUAGCUCAGUUGGUGAGAGUGUGGUGUUAAUAAUGCCAAGGCUGUGGGUUUGAGCCCCAUAUGGGCCA